UUUUCUUUUAGCUAAGAAGCCCGUAGGUUGUACGUCAGCCAUACAUAGCUUGAACUUUGAUGGCCACAAUGCUUAGCUAUUGCCGACCCCCAAAACUAGACAGAGUAGGGAGUCCAGAAUCCGGUAAGUCACUUCCCUGUCUUGAGUUGGAUCCCCCUGUAACAAACAAACAGGACUUUAUGACACCAAGACAUAAACGACUAGUGCUGCCCUUCUCCUGUCCCUGGACCAGAUGCCCGACUGGCUUUGACUCAAGUUUCACCGUUGACUUACUGCACUACCCAAACCGUUCUUCUCUUCCUUUGUUUUCUUUUAUUUGUUGAGAGGCUCGCUUUCCGGUAUAGAUAAGGCUUAAGAGAAAGACCUGUUAGGUAUAACUAAUAGUCUUAGAGAUUGUGUUUAUCGAAUAGAAUGGGAAAAUGGGACUUUCAAGGACCUUUCUCAAACCUGUCUUCUCUACUGGCUGUAAUGCUAUUAAACUUGCCCUCGCUCCUUACGUCACACUUUACUGGCUACCGUAAGAGCACAGAAAGACUUAUUCGCCUUAAAGGCUAGGCCUACCUUCUAUACUAUAGGCUUAAGGCAAGGUAUGAGUUUCUCUACGGCUUUGACUAGUCUACCCAAAAGAAGAACUAUAAAUCCAAAAGCAUUGCUCGCCGAACUUCAAAUCUUUAUUUUUUAAAACGAGUGAAAGAGAGUCUCAGACGUAAAGAAGACUGAAAUAAAAGGUGCCUAAAAGCCUCUCGCGAUCUACCGCUUCUUAGCCUAUCUCGGUAAUGGCCCUACCCCCUUUCUCUUCCUUGGGCUUUGGUCUCCUUUGGCUUCAGGCUUCUGUUCAUGCUUAUCCUCAGCCUCCAGUAGGCUGAUGGGCAUUGAACCCGACUCUGUAGACCUUUGGUCUUCUACGACCUCUCCUAUAGAAAUUUUUAACACGACUUUAUGAGGGGCUAGCUUUCCUGCUUCUGUGCUUGCUAUUAAGAAUAUGGCAUACCAACGAUUAACUUACUUACUGGAAUGAUGGAAAGGAAAUGGGAUCGACAAAAGAGAGAUCCAUUUUCUAGGAAAAAAGCAAGGUGGGAUUUUCUCCUGCCUGCCUUCCCCCGGAAGUAACUUCGCUACCUUUGUGGAUCCAACAUGUUUUAUACCCAAACCUGAUCCAUAAGAAGUGAUUAAUCAGGCUAUUGCUUCUGUCUUCAAAGCUACGCUCCUACUUCACUCGAGCAGCAAAUUCUCUAACAGUAACA
This 1244-nucleotide long non-coding RNA is filed under the name Panax ginseng (ginseng). Its description in RNAcentral is "long non-coding RNA (PGIN_LNC016894)". The record is from RNAcentral. Lineage: Eukaryota; Viridiplantae; Streptophyta; Magnoliopsida; Apiales; Araliaceae.